This 274-nucleotide ribosomal RNA is filed under the name uncultured bacterium. RNAcentral's name for it is "partial 16S ribosomal RNA". It matches the Rfam family "Bacterial small subunit ribosomal RNA", at positions 523 to 796 of the family's 1533-position model. The record is from RNAcentral.
AUACGGAGGGUGCAAGCGUUAUCCGGAAUCAUUGGGUUUAAAGGGUCCGUAGGCGGACUAAUAAGUCAGGGGUGAAAUCCCACAGCUUAACUGUGGAACUGCCUUUGAUACUGUUAGUCUUGAGUUAUAUGGAAGUAGAUAGAAUGUGUAGUGUAGCGGUGAAAUGCUUAGAGAUUACGCAGAAUACCGAUUGCGAAGGCAGUCUACUACAUAUAUACUGACGCUAAUGGACGAAAGCGUGGGGAGCGAACAGGAUUAGAAACCCUUGUAGUCC